This 425-nucleotide ribosomal RNA is filed under the name uncultured bacterium. Its description in RNAcentral is "bacterial SSU rRNA". It matches the Rfam family "Bacterial small subunit ribosomal RNA", at positions 359 to 776 of the family's 1533-position model. The record is from RNAcentral.
GAAUAUUGGACAAUGGGGGCAACCCUGAUCCAGCCAUGCCGCGUGUGUGAAGAAGGCUUUCGGGUUGUAAAGCACUUUCAGCGAGGAGGAAAACCUUACGAUUAAUACUCGUGAGGCUUGACGUUACUCGCCGAAGAAGCACCGGCUAACUCCGUGCCAGCAGCCGCGGUAAUACGGAGGGUGCAAGCGUGAAUCGGAAUUACUGGGCGUAAAGCGCGCGUAGGCGGUUUGAUAAGCGGGAUGUGAAAGCCCCGGGCUUAACCUGGGAACGGCAUUCCGAACUGUCAGGCUAGAGUAUGGUAGAGGGUAGUGGAAUUUCCUGUGUAGCGGUGAAAUGCGUAGAUAUCGGAAGGAACACCAGUGGCGAAGGCGACUUCCUGGGCCAAUACUGACGCUGAGGUGCGAAAGCGUGGGGAGCAAACAGG